GAUGAACGCUAGCGGCAGGCUUAACACAUGCAAGUCGAGGGGUAUAGUUCUUCGGAACUAGAGACCGGCGCACGGGUGCGUAACGCGUAUGCAAUCUACCUUUUACAGAGGGAUAGCCCAGAGAAAUUUGGAUUAAUACCUCAUAGUAUGUGAGAAUCGCAUGGUUUUCACAUUAAAGUUCCAACGGUAAAAGAUGAGCAUGCGUCCCAUUAGCUAGAUGGUAAGGUAACGGCUUACCAUGGCGACGAUGGGUAGGGGUCCUGAGAGGGAGAUCCCCCACACUGGUACUGAGACACGGACCAGACUCCUACGGGAGGCAGCAGUGAGGAAUAUUGGACAAUGGGCGCAAGCCUGAUCCAGCCAUGCCGCGUGCAGGAUGACGGUCCUAUGGAUUGUAAACUGCUUUUGUACAGGAAGAAACACUCCCUCGUGAGGGAGCUUGACGGUACUGUAAGAAUAAGGAUCGGCUAACUCCGUGCCAGCAGCC
Molecule: ribosomal RNA, 487 nt
Filed under: uncultured bacterium
Lineage: Bacteria
Description: bacterial SSU rRNA
Rfam family: Bacterial small subunit ribosomal RNA
Source: RNAcentral